Molecule: unclassified non-coding RNA, 24 nt
Filed under: Mus musculus (house mouse)
Lineage: Eukaryota; Metazoa; Chordata; Mammalia; Rodentia; Muridae
Description: oocyte_clustered_small_RNA426
Source: RNAcentral
AGGGUAGCUAGGGCACAGAGUCAG